RNAcentral lists this ribosomal RNA (405 nucleotides) under uncultured bacterium. RNAcentral describes it as "partial 16S ribosomal RNA". It matches the Rfam family "Bacterial small subunit ribosomal RNA", at positions 28 to 526 of the family's 1533-position model. The record is from RNAcentral.
GAUGAACGCUGGCGGCGUGCUUAAUACAUGCAAGUUGAGCGAAGCGUGUACGGGUGAGUAACACGUGGAUAACCUCCUAUAAGACUGGGAUAACUUCGGGAAACCGGAGCUAAACCGGACACUUAUAGAUGAUACCACGCUGCAUUGGCUCGUUGGUAAGGUAACGGCUUACCAAGGAAACGAUGCAUAGCCGAGCUGAGAGGGUAAUAGCCAACACUGAAGCUGAGACACGGUCCAGACUCCUGCGGGAGGCAGCAUUAGGGAAUCUUCCGCAAUGGGAGAAAGCCUGAGGGAGCAACGCCGCGUGAGUGAUGAAGGUAUUCGGAUCAUAAUACGCUGUUAUUAGGGAAGCGGUACCUAAUCAGGAGGCAACGGCUAACUACGUACCAGCAGCCGCGGUAAUUC